This 253-nucleotide ribosomal RNA is filed under the name uncultured bacterium. RNAcentral's name for it is "partial 16S ribosomal RNA". It matches the Rfam family "Bacterial small subunit ribosomal RNA", at positions 524 to 776 of the family's 1533-position model. The record is from RNAcentral.
UACGAAGGGGGCUAGCGUUGCCCGGAUUUACUGGGCGUAAAGCGCGUGUAGGCGGUUAGAUUAGUCUGCUGUGAAAGCCCCCGGCUCAACUGGGGAGGGUCACGCGAUACUGAUCGACUCGAAGGCAGGAGAGGGAAGUGGAAUUCCCGGUGUAGUGGUGAAAUGCGUAGAUAUCGGGAGGAACACCAGUGGCGAAGGCGGCUUACUGGUCCGGAUCUGACGCUGAGGCGCGAAAGCGUGGGGAGCAAACAGG